Molecule: long non-coding RNA, 356 nt
Organism: Papaver somniferum (opium poppy)
Lineage: Eukaryota; Viridiplantae; Streptophyta; Magnoliopsida; Ranunculales; Papaveraceae
Exons: 2
Source: RefSeq, a predicted model, not a curated record
GAAUAGACAAUAAAAAGAAAUAAACAUUAGUAUUAUUAAGAAUUUAUAACAAAAAGUUUUGGAAAAAGAAUUUUAGAGAUUAGAAAACUAAGAAUGAGGAGAAGAAAGAGAUGAAGCUCAUGUUUCUUUUAGAGAAGAAGGUUAUGAAAAACAGUAGAGGAUCAAUUUAAUUGAGAUUUAUCAGAGUGGCGCAUCGAAAGCUAGGAAUGAGUAGCUUACUAAUUGAAUUGCUUAAUUGUAUUGCUUGAAAUGUAAUUUGAAAUAAUAUGUUUGGUUGAAAUUGUUGUUAAAGAUAAUUAGUGGAUUUAUAUGCUUAAAUUCAGGUUAUAUAAAGUUUCAAUUAUGUUUAUGUAAAA